AAAAAUCUUAUAUAUAUAUAUUUUUUUGGCUUUAACGUCGUACAACCAUUAUUCAAUUGUAGAGUAGUGAAAAAAUUCCUGUCCAAUUCGGUGUAGUGCCCAAAAGUUUGGGUCAGUUAGCUUCAGUACGUGUACUGGGAAACGCGUUUUUAUCGAAACAGAAUUUAUGAAUUCAUGGAACGUUGAUAGUACGAGUUCUUAAAAUCAACGUCUCUUGAAAAGGAUGAAGAUUGGUCAUUGGCCUGUCUCAUAAAAUCUUUGGUUCAAGCAGCAACGUGCAAAAGCAAAAAAGAGCAAAAUGCUGAGAGCUAUGUCAUAAAUGAGAAAAUAUAGUAAAAAGCUUCCGAAAAGCUCAUGGCUUUUAUGGACGCAACAGAAAAUUCGCUUCGGCGAAAACAAAACUUGUAUUUUAAAAUAAAUAUAAAAUUAUUUUAAA
Non-coding RNA from Bactrocera oleae (olive fruit fly), 436 nucleotides. NCBI's taxonomy places the organism in Eukaryota, Metazoa, Arthropoda, Insecta, Diptera, Tephritidae. The record is from RefSeq and is a predicted model, not a curated record.